This is a long non-coding RNA of Aedes albopictus (Asian tiger mosquito), 2193 nucleotides long. RefSeq lists it as uncharacterized. NCBI's taxonomy places the organism in Eukaryota, Metazoa, Arthropoda, Insecta, Diptera, Culicidae. The record is from RefSeq and is a predicted model, not a curated record. The transcript has 3 exons.
ACAAAGCUAUUAUAAACAUAAAUUAACCCUCUAAUACCCAAAUUUUUGAUUUUGAUCUAAAUAUCAUUUUUCGUCAUCUAAAAUCGAUUUAAACAUGUUUUGGAAGAUGAUUCUUUUUAAUUCUCGAUUUCGUGAAUUUCAGUUUUUGAUUUUUCUAAUUUUUAUUUUUGAACAUCCCCACACUUUUAUAUUUUUCCUGGAAGCCUAUUUGGGGUACGGAUUUUUUGGGAUGAAAACAUUUUGAGAUUUUAUGAUUAUUGUUGAAAUAUUUUUAUUUUAAAUUUUUUUCAUAUAAAAUUUUAUUUUCCGUGUUAUUUUAAGGAAAAUAAUUUUAGAGUGUAUUCGAUCCCCUUAAACUAUUAAACAAGGAUAGAAUAGUUUGGGAAAAAUAUAAAAUAUGUUAAUUGUAGCGAUUCAAUACAAAAUAAACAAUGACUUCUAAAAGGUGACCAAAACAUCAAAUUUUCAAUGAUUUUUGAAAAAUGUAAAUACGCUUUAAAAUACACCAAAAAACCAUUUUAAGAUAUACAAAACAGUCCUAAAUAUCAGCCAAAAAUAUAAAAAUUUUGAUUUCCCUCGAAACACAAAUUACAAAAAUGCUCAAACUAUACCCCGUCUAAAGGCGGGGUUGGGUAUUAGAGGGUUAAACUAGUUAGAAUUUGAAUUGCUACUCGGAAUGUGCGAAUGCUCACGACAUACAUUACAGGUGAAGGGUUAUUUUCUUUGCCUGUGAGCAAUAUUCGAUAACUAAACAUUUACAACGUCAUAUUUUGGAGAGGUGACUAUGGUUCCGGAAGAAUGCACAGAACGAUUUAGUUUUACUGCAUUAUAGCCAAGUAUUACGCCCAUCGUCUCGCAUGGUGCCAAAAUCGAUGUAGGUAUCGAUGUGAGGUGUGUGUACAUAUCGAAGUUACACAGAAAGUACAAAUCGGCCAAUCCAUUCGCUAAGGUGCAGGCAGAGGUAGGUAUAUCGGAGAAAAACGCGCCGACGUUUGGCCAGUUGGCAGUUGGGAUUUCGUGGUCAGUCGCUGGCGGUCGCUCAUUCACCGCAGACCAAUUCAUUGAUGGGAAUACACUCGAGCUGAUACUCCCACGCUGGAUAACUUAUAGCUAGCGAAUUACAAUCGAAUAGUUUACCGAAUCACAUCUCUUGUUUGGCGGGCGCACUCCGAGUCGCGUGGCGAGUGAAAGAGACGAACCUGGCAAAGUCCACCAAAGGCAAAUGGGCAAUCAGAACAAUCCAAAGCAAUACACCAAAUACAGCAAGAAUACCUCGGAGUGCAAAGUGCGGAACAAGUGUCUACCAGUUCAACGAAGCAUGUUCCGAUUGGGAUCUGGAAAUCUGUUCUACCUGAUAUUAAUCAAAAUAUUCACCAUUUUGAACAACAUAGCCAGCAAGUGCUUCUGAAUUCCAUACGGUCUAGGGCUAUAACGAAUUAAAAAUAAACGGCUUUUUCUACUAUAUCUGUUAUCCCGCUGGCUGGUGACAUUCGAAUACUGAAAAAGAUUUCGGAUAUUUCUACUAAUUAAUCAGCAUUACUUUCGAUUUGAUAGAGCAAGUGCAAGUUCACGAUCGCAACAGAGUCAGCGAGAGAACGUUAACAUAGAUGUAGAUAGCAAGUGAGAGCUUAUUCUGCCGCAAGUGUGACACUGCUGUUGCAGUACCUGUGAUGAUGUGUCGUCCGCUGCAUUUGAAUUCUAAAGUGCUUCGGAUUAAUGACGCACAAUUCCGAAGGAGAGCAUUGCUGGCGAUCGACCAAAUUCUCAUCCGUUCGACGGUCGAUCGGUUGAUUUUCGGUACUACGAACACCAAAGAGGCGGUUGAAGUUGAUCGAUGAACAGCGUCGAGGCUGGGCCCUUCAUCAGUUAUGCGGAGAAAGUCGUUAAAUGUAUAACUACUAUACUGAUCGAAAGUGAUCGUCUGUUGGAUGGUGAUUGUUAAAAAUAGUAUUUACUGCAGGAUAAGUGGUUUCUGUACGGUUCGAGAGGCGAAGAACUCACAGCAAAAGAAUACCAUGAUUCCCACUGGAUACACCCGUUGGCGACAGGAAGCGUGCAUCCGUGACGUGGUAUUUGCCUUUCUGGCACUUAUGUUUCUACUCUGCUGGUGGUUUUGACCACCACAAAGGAUUCCAUCGGAUUUCUAAUGCGGUACAAGAACAAUAGAACACUCGCUUCCCACUACUUAUCGGU